AAACUGCGAUAAGUAGCGUGAAUUGCAGACGCUUUGAACGUUAAACUUUCGAACGCACAUUGCGCCGUAGGAGUCCUACCCUACGGCACAUCUGGUUGAGGGUCGUGAUCAAAAACAGCCGCACAGUAGCUGGAAUAGAACGAAUUGGUGAAUCACGAGUUCGGCCCACCCGUACUCGGGCCGUACGUGUUUUGCCAUAGUGCUAUAGAGGAUGACCGCGAGAGCUCUUCGGAGUUUUCGGUUGCCUGCCACGCGGACGGGCUAUCAGCUGAUGCGAUAGAUUCCGGCCUUAGGGUAUCAUACUACGCUUUCGUAUAUACUCUUGGGCGUCUGGAAUACAGCUGGUUGGUUUCGUACGUGCUUGGUAAAUGUAUUGAAUCGCUUUCCCGACCUCAACUCA
Molecule: unclassified non-coding RNA, 400 nt
Filed under: uncultured fungus
Lineage: Eukaryota; Fungi
Description: sequence contains ITS1
Rfam family: 5.8S ribosomal RNA (bases 1-105)
Source: RNAcentral